CAUGCAAGUCGAACGGUAGAGAAGUGCUUGCACUUCUUGAGAGUGGCGAACGGGUGAGUAACACGUAGGUGAUCUACCGCAGGGGUUGGGGAUAGCCCAUGGAAACGUGGGGUAAUACCGAAUACGCUCAUUUGGCUGUGGCCGGAUGAGGAAAGGCGCUUCGGCGUCGCCCUGCGAUGAGCCUGCGCCCCAUUAGCUAGUUGGUAGGGUAAAGGCCUACCAAGGCGACGAUGGGUAGCCGGCCUGAGAGGGUGAUCGGCCACACUGGGACUGAGAUACGGCCCAGACUCCUACGGGAGGCAGCAGCUAAGAAUCUUCCGCAAUGGACGAAAGUCUGACGGAGCGACGCCGCGUGGGUGAAGAAGGCCGGAAGGUUGUAAAGCCCUUUUCUCGUUGAGGAAUAAGCACAGGAGGGAAUGCCUGUGCGAUGACGGUAGGCGAGGAAUAAGUCCCGGCCAAUUACGUGCCAGCAGCCGCGGUAACACGUAUGGGACGAGCGUUGUUCGGAAUCAUUGGGCGUAAAGGGCGCGUAGGCGGCGAGGUAAGCCUGGUGUGAAAGACCGCAGCUUAACUGCGGAACCGCGCUAGGAACUGCUUUGCUUGAGUUCAGGAGGGGGAGCUGGAAUUCCAGGUGUAGGGGUGAAAUCUGUAGAUAUCUGGAAGAACACCGGCGGCGAAGGCGAGCUCCUGGCCAUGAACUGACGCUGAGGCGCGAAAGCGUGGGGAGCGAACAGGAUUAGAGACCCUGUUAGUCCUCGCUUGUAUACGAUGUGCAUUAGCUGUUGGGCCAUGAAGGUUCAGUUCCGUAGUCUACGCGUUAAGUGCACCGCUUGGGUAGUAUGCUCGCAUAGGGUGAUACUCUAUAGUGAAUUGACGGGGGCCCGCACAAUCGUUGGAGCAUGUGGUUUAAUUCGAUGAUACGCGUAGGAACCUUACCAGGGUUUGACAUAUGCCGGAAUGUGCAGGAGACUGCGCAGCCCUUCGGGGCCGGUAUACAGGUGCUGCAUGGCCGUCGUCAGCUCGUGCCGUUAGGUGUUGGGUUAAGUCCCGCAACGAGCGCAACCCCUACCGUCUGUUGCCAGCAUUCAGUUGGGGUACUCUAGGCGGAACUGCCGGUGUACUAACCGGAGGUAGUUGGGGACGACGUCAGGUCAUCAUGGCCCUUAUAUCCUGGGCUACACUACGUGCUACAAUGGCCGGUACAGAGCGAAGCAACACCGCGAGGUAGAGCAAAUCGCAGAAAGCCGGUCUCAGUUCGGAUUGGAGUCUGAAACCCGACUCCAUGAAGUUGGAAUCGCUAGUAAUCGCGCAUCAGCAUGGCGCGGUGAAUACGUUCCCGGGCCUUGUACACACCGCCCGUCACACCACCCGAGUUGGGGGUACCCGAAGUCGUUUGCCUAACCUGCAAAGGAGGGCGGCGCCGAAG
This 1426-nucleotide ribosomal RNA is filed under the name uncultured organism. Its description in RNAcentral is "16S ribosomal RNA". It matches the Rfam family "Bacterial small subunit ribosomal RNA". The record is from RNAcentral.